CGCGUAGGCGGGUCCUCAAGUCAGGGGUGAAAUCCCACGGCUCAACCGUGGAAGUGCCUUUGAUACUGGGGGUCUCGAGGGAGGUAGGGGCGUGCGGAACUUCCGGUGGAGCGGUGAAAUGCGUAGAUAUCGGAAGGAACACCGGUGGCGAAAGCGGCGCGCUGGACCUCUUCUGACGCUGAGGCGCGAAAGCCAGGGGAGCAAAACG
This 208-nucleotide ribosomal RNA is filed under the name uncultured bacterium. Its description in RNAcentral is "partial 16S ribosomal RNA". It matches the Rfam family "Bacterial small subunit ribosomal RNA", at positions 568 to 775 of the family's 1533-position model. The record is from RNAcentral.